GGUGAGUAACAUAUCGGAACGUACCCAGUCGUGGGGGAUAACUAUCCGAAAGGAUAGCUAAUACCGCAUACGUCCUGAGGGAGAAAGCGGGGGAUCGCAAGACCUUGCGCAAUUAGAGUGGCCGAUGUCUGAUUAGCUAGUUGGUAGGGUAAAGGCCCACCAAGGCGACGAUCAGUAGCUGGUCUGAGAGGACGACCAGCCACACUGGAACUGAGACACGGUCCAGACUCCUACGGGAGGCAGCAGUGGGGAAUUUUGGACAAUGGGCGCAAGCCUGAUCCAGCCAUUCCGCGUGAGUGAAGAAGGCCUUCGGGUUGUAAAGCUCUUUCGCAAGGGAAGAAAACUUAGCCUCUAACAUAGGCUGAGGUUGACGGUACCUUGAUAAGAAGCACCGGCUAACUACGUGCCAGCAGCCGCGGUAAUACGUAGGGUGCGAGCGUUAAUCGGAAUUACUGGGCGUAAAGCGUGCGCAGGCGGCUUUUUAAGCCAGAUGUGAAAUCCCCGGGCUUAACCUGGGAACUGCAUUUGGGACUGGAAGGCUAGAGUGCGGCAGAGGGGGGUAGAAUUCCACGUGUAGCAGUGAAAUGCGUAGAGAUGUGGAGGAAUACCGAUGGCGAAGGCAGCCCCCUGGGUCGACACUGACGCUCAUGCACGAAAGCGUGGGGAGCAAACAGGGUUAGAUACCCUGGUAGUCCACGCCCUAAACGAUGUCAACUAGUUGUUGGAGGAGUGAAAUCCUUUAGUAACGAAGCUAACGCGUGAAGUUGACCGCCUGGGGAGUACGGUCGCAAGAUU
RNAcentral lists this ribosomal RNA (795 nucleotides) under uncultured bacterium. Its description in RNAcentral is "bacterial SSU rRNA". It matches the Rfam family "Bacterial small subunit ribosomal RNA", at positions 105 to 895 of the family's 1533-position model. The record is from RNAcentral.